AAAGGAAUAGACGGGACCCUGCACAAGCGGUGGAUCAUGUUGUUUAAUUCGUGGAUACGCGAAGAACCUUACCAGGCCUUGACAUCUUCUGCAAAGCUAUAGAGAUAUAGUGGAGGUUAACAGAAAGACAGGUGGUGCAUGGUUGUCGUCAGCUCGUGUCGUGAGAUGUUGGGUUAAGUCCCGUAACGAGCGCAACCCUUGUUGCUAGUUGCCAUCAUUAAGUUGGGGACUCUAGCGAGACUGCCAGUGAUAAACUGGAGGAAGGCGGGGAUGACGUCAAAUCAUCAUGCCCCUUAUGGCCUGGGCUACAAACGUGAUACAAUGGCUGAAACAAAGAGAAGCGAAGGGGUGACCUGGAGCGGAACUCAUAAAAGCAGUCUCAGUUCGGAUUGGAGUCUGCAACUCGACUCCAUGAAGUCGGAAUCGCUAGUAAUCGUAGGUCAGCAUACUACGGUGAAUACGUUCUCGGGGUUUGUACACACCGCCCGU
Molecule: ribosomal RNA, 489 nt
Filed under: uncultured bacterium
Lineage: Bacteria
Description: bacterial SSU rRNA
Rfam family: Bacterial small subunit ribosomal RNA
Source: RNAcentral